CUGAGACCAAGGCAAACUGGGGAUUUGACCCCAGGGAUGGGAUAAGUGACAGGAAGUGAGGCAGGGAAGGCAGGAGAGCAGUUCAAAGAUCUCGGCCAUGACCGCAGGUUGAACAUCCAUCAGAAGCGAGGUGGCUCUUGCCUGGGGCUUCGCAGAGAAGCCCAAGGGGGAAGAAAGAAGAUACGCAUGGGCCCUAGGCCAGCUACUUUCAGGCAGCACCUGCAGGAAGCUGGCCAGAUUGUGUAAGACUUGGAGCUGCAGUCAAGAUUCCAGUAACAGGUGAGGAUGGGAUCAUCUGAAGCAGUGGAAGAGGGAGACAAAAAAGUAAAAGACUCUUAAUCUCACAA
RNAcentral lists this long non-coding RNA (347 nucleotides) under Mustela putorius furo (domestic ferret). RNAcentral describes it as "lncRNA (ENSMPUG00000028798.1)". The record is from RNAcentral. Lineage: Eukaryota; Metazoa; Chordata; Mammalia; Carnivora; Mustelidae.